Long non-coding RNA from Salvia miltiorrhiza (redroot sage), 1885 nucleotides. RefSeq lists it as uncharacterized. The record is from RefSeq and is a predicted model, not a curated record. Lineage: Eukaryota; Viridiplantae; Streptophyta; Magnoliopsida; Lamiales; Lamiaceae. The transcript is spliced from 4 exons.
UGGUUAGACUCGAAAUUCGACGUGUAAAGACUCUCAAACUCUUUUAGUUAACUUUUUGAGACUUGGUAAGAAAUUUUCAAGUACUAACAAAUCUGGAAUAUGCAAGUCUUGUAGAGUUAUAGAAAACUGAGAUAAGAGUCUGUAGAAUCUAUGGUGCUGAUACACUUUGUUCUUGUACGUACAUAUGUCCUUUGGGCCUGAAGCGGUUUGUAUGUAGAAAUUCUAGUUAUUUCCCAUGCUUAUGUCAAGCCCAGAGAAAAAGUUAAGUGACUGCGCUUGUUUGAGUACUUGCUAUAGAUGAUGGAGUUUGGAAUGGAUAAAUAUCUUGACACAUGAAUUGCUUCAUCAUGUUCACAUAGAAGAGAUCUACCAGCUGAAGCAAAUUAGGCAAACACACUUCGUAGCUUGAAACAUGUAGACUUACAACGAGUAAUGAAUUACCUUUAUUUCUUUGACCUUUCCUCCUAGCUUGCUAGUGAUCAUGAAAUUUUUGGGCAUGGGAUAUUGUUAUUGAGAAAAUUAUUUUGUUCCUUCCAUCAAGUAUUCUCCACGUGGACUUCAGAACUGUGAAUGGUUUUACCACAUAUCUAGUAAUAUUCGUAAGCAAUUUCAUGUGGAAAUAGUUUUUGUAGUUUUGAUGAUUACAAAAAUAGAUAUGUAUCCUUGUGAUUAACAUUAGAAGGAAGAUUGUCUAAAUGGUAAAUUUUUCUUUGCAGAUGGCCUUUAGAUUCUCUCUGUGUUCUUUAUCUUUUGUCUAGUAGAGGACUUAGUUGUCAUGUAAUAUUAUCAUUCUCUGUAAUUUUUUUGAAGCACAUGCUGAAGUUGUUCGAGCCUUUCUUGUGUUCAUUGCCUUCAGAUGGAGUGGUGAAUGUCUAGCUUCUUCAUUACAGGAAUUCCAACCAUGAAGUGGAUGGUUCAUUCAUUUCACAAAUUUAUUGCUGUAGAAGAUAUUAUCUAAUAUUUCUGCCACGGAACUUUUCCUUGUCUUUCAUGGAACCUUGAGCACUCUCUUCACCUAUGAAAUGAUAGCUGGAGAUCUUUAAAGAAGAUAAACUGAACUGAUAGAACAGACAACGAUUUUCAGCUCAGCUCAGUUGAACUGAGAGAACAGGAAAUACCCCCAACCACGAGGUCCACAGAGAAACACAGCACCUGCUGCAACUUUGCGUUCAAAAGAUGCCAAAUCCUACGUCUAGGAGAUUACUGCUCUUCAUUAGGCUAAAUGAGUUGGACAUGGACACUGGACAUUUGAUCGUGAAGAUUACCUUGACUUCAGAAGUUGAAUUUGCCAAUUGGUGAGGAUCCUCUUUUGCUUUGUCGUACCUUUCAAUCACCGACUUCAUGCUGUACAAAAUUAGCAUAAAUGUCAGAUCUUAUAAGUUACAAUGGUGUUCCAUGAAUAUGUAAGGAAUUUCUUUAGUAGUAAGUUAUGCAUUUAUCGUUUUGUUUGCCACAUGAUUUCCUAUAUAACUCUUCAUUGUCAAAAGAAACACAAAUUUCUCAAAAAGCAAAAGAAAAGUCAGAAGUGGUCGCCAAGUGGUAACUAUUCCUGAUUAUACUAUAAUCUAUUCUUAGAUUCAUGUACAUUGCUCAAUUCCUGUUAAUUUUUUUGAUCCAUGUAUACUCCUUUGAUUAGUUGCUGAAGACCAUCAUGCAAACAGAAUCUAGUUCGAGUGUCAUUCUGACUGCAUGCAGCAAGAAUAAAUCGAUCUGUACACAAGGAGAAUAGUAAAGAAGAAAUGAGUGUGUUUCUUCUAAUAAGCAUCUCCUUGUCUUGGUAUCUCAGUGUGAAAGAGUCAAAGUUUGGAUCAGUGUUGUAAAAAACGAUUCGAGCGCCUCAAGGCGAGGUGGUGCCAAACCGCUCUAAAUAUUAUGCAUCUAUAGU